Molecule: ribosomal RNA, 1856 nt
Filed under: Candidatus Uhrbacteria bacterium RIFOXYA2_FULL_40_9
Lineage: Bacteria; Candidatus Uhriibacteriota
Description: bacterial LSU rRNA
Rfam family: Bacterial large subunit ribosomal RNA
Source: RNAcentral
AGCAUCUAAAGGGCAUACGGUGGAUGCCUUGGCAAAACGUGCCGAUGAAGGACGUAGCAGCCUGCGAUAAGCUUCGGGGAGGUGGCAAGCAACCUUUGAUCCGGAGAUUUCCGAAUGGGGAAACCCAAUGCGGGGAAGCCGCAUUACCUUGUGCUGAAUACAUAGGUACAAGGAGGGCACCUGGGGAAGUGAAACAUCUCAGUACCCAGAGGAAAAGAAAAAGAAUGUUCGUUUUACGUUUACAUGCACACGCACGUUGCCUGUAAACGGAUAACGAGCCCAUUCCCUAAGUAGUGGCGAGCGAAAAGGGAAGAGCCCAAACCUUAAUGAGUGAAGUUGUUGUGAUCAUGUGGACUUCGGUUCGUAUGUGACCAGCAAUGAAAGAUGGAAGUCGUUGCUCCUAAGGCGUUGUAAGAUAGUUAUGUCGUCUUCUUCCAAAGACGGGUAAUGCAAGUUGUACGAUGUAUAGUGGAAGUCGUUGGAAAACGACACCAAAGAAGGUGAUAGUCCUGUACAUAAAAUACUCCCGUACCAUUACUAUGAUUAUUCUUGAGUACCACGGGACUCGUGAAAUCCUGUGGGAACCUGCCGCGACUAUGUGGCAAGGCUAAAUACACGUUUUGACCGAUAGUGAACAAGUACCGUGAGGGAAAGGUGAAAAGCACCCCGAGAGGGGAAUGAAAUAGUAUCUGAAACCGUAUGCUUACAAGGAGUCAGAGUCCCGCUUUGCGGGAUGAUGGCGUUCCUAUUGAAGAAUGAGCCAACGAGUGUGUUGUAUGUUGCUUGGUUAAGUCCUCCGGGACGGAGCCAUAGUGAAAGCGAGCGUUAACCCGCGUGAUGUGACUAAAUUCGAAUUGUUCGAUUUUUAUCGAACUUUUCGAAUUUUUUCACAGAGUAGCAUGCACACGACCCGAAACCAGGCGACCUAGCCAUGGCCAGGUUGAAGCGAGUGUAACAGCUCGUGGAGGACCGAACCCACGCGUCGUGCAACACGCGGGGAUGAGCUGUGGUUAGCGGAGAAAUUCCAAUCGAGCCUGGUAAUAGCUGGUUCUCCCCGAGAUAGCUUUAGGGCUAGCGUCGGUUAAUAGUGUAUUGGGGGUAGAGCACUGAAUGGGGUCACCGCCUUCGGGUAGGUAUCCUAAACAAACUCCGAAUACCAAUACAUGUUCCCGGCAGUCAGACUAUGGGGGCUAAGCUCCAUUAGUCGAAAGGGAAACAGCCCAGAUCUCCAACUAAGGUCCCUAAAUCAUCAUUAAGUGUAAAAGGUGGUUGAAAGGCUUAUACAACCAGGAGGUUGGCUUAGAAGCAGCCAUCCUUUAAAGAUAGCGUAAUAGCUCACUGGUCAAGCUUUUCUGCGCCGAAAAUGUACCGGGGCUAAAUGAUGUACCGAAGUUGAGGGUGUCUUCACCUAGAGUGAAGGCGCGGUAGGGGAGCAUUCGUAUUGCACUGAAGCUGUGUCGUAAGGCAUGGUGGAGCGAUGCGAAGGGAGAAUGUUGGCAUAAGUAGCAAAAAGACAGGUGAGAAUCCUGUCCACCGUAAACCCAAGGUUUCCUGGGCAACGAGAAUCGACCCAGGGUUAGUCGGGAGCUAAGGCGAGGCCGAAAGGCGUAGUCGAUGCACAGCAGGUUAAUAUUCCUGCACUCUGUCACACACUGAUGCGGGGACGCUUCGUGAAAUUUCCUGCGUCCUAUGGCUAUGACGUCGGGUGCAUCUUGGCGACUGGUAGGUAAAUCCGCUAGUCAUUAAGCUCGGAUGUAAUCGCAAGUCUGCCGCAAGGCAAGCAAGAGGAAAGGACAUGGAGCCAAGAAAAGCCGCUAGGGUUAAUGUGUGAUGGACCCGUACCCCAAACCAACACA